Molecule: long non-coding RNA, 670 nt
Filed under: Theobroma cacao (cacao)
Lineage: Eukaryota; Viridiplantae; Streptophyta; Magnoliopsida; Malvales; Malvaceae
Description: long non-coding RNA (TCAC_LNC006408)
Source: RNAcentral
GGAGACAAUAUAAAAAAAAAAGCGUUAUAUUUCAAUAAUGUUCAUAACGCAAAAUUCGUUUCGAUCUAUACCAAAUAAUUUCUUUUCAUCAAAAUUUCUCUGGCUUAUGAGUUUCUUAAACUUGGCCCCUGCCAGAAUCAUUCUCGCAGGUACCUUCGUCAAGGUAUGUUCAAUGACCCGUACCCAUAAACAUGUUUUCACAUUUGACACACAGCCGUUCCUUGGCGUUGGCUGAGUCUCACUCUCAUGUGGUGGCUCGAAUGUGAGGUGCACUCAAAUCAUACCUCAGGAGAUACUUCACCCAACAUCUCCCCCUGGAGGUAAGUAUAUAAUUGAGUUACCGUGCCCCUCUCAUAGGCAGUCCACGGAAACCCCCACCACUGCAGUGACCGUUUAAUAUACCACUAGACCUAUAAAAAUUCUAGUAGCAUAAUAUGGUGAAUAAAAUGUAAUCCAGUCUACCGAGACCAAUCCAAAACUAUUCAUAUAUUUCAUGCCAACCCCAAAAAUUUAGCCAUCAUGCUACCAUAGUGUCAUAAGCCCCAAUUUCAAUAACAUAUAAAAUCAAAAAUUUCAACACAGUCUCCAUAUACUCAAUUUUCCCAAAACAAUAUUUGAUUUCAAAACCAGUAUAAAUCUCAUUUUUAUUAAAAAAAUAUUUUAAUUAGAA